UGGCUGUCGUCAGCUCGUGUUGUGAAAUGUUGGGUUAAGUCCCGCAACGAGCGCAACCCUUAUCCUUUGUUGCCAGCGGUUAGGCCGGGAACUCAAAGGAGACUGCCAGUGAUAAACUGGAGGAAGGUGGGGAUGACGUCAAGUCAUCAUGGCCCUUACGACCAGGGCUACACACGUGCUACAAUGGCAUAUACAAAGAGAAGCGACCUCGCGAGAGCAAGCGGACCUCAUAAAGUAUGUCGUAGUCCGGAUUGGAGUCUGCAACUCGACUCCAUGAAGUCGGAAUCGCUAGUAAUCGUAGAUCAGAAUGCUACGGUGAAUACGUUCCCGGGCCUUGUACACACCGCCCGUCACACCAUGGGAGUGGGUUGCAAAAGAAGUAGGUAGCUUAACCUUCGGGAGGGCGCUUACCACUUUGUGAUUCAUGACUGGGGUGAAGUCGUAACAAGGUAACCGUAGGGGAACCUGCGGUUGGAUCACCUCCUUA
RNAcentral lists this ribosomal RNA (487 nucleotides) under Klebsiella pneumoniae subsp. pneumoniae. RNAcentral's name for it is "bacterial SSU rRNA". It matches the Rfam family "Bacterial small subunit ribosomal RNA", at positions 1046 to 1533 of the family's 1533-position model. Lineage: Bacteria; Pseudomonadati; Pseudomonadota; Gammaproteobacteria; Enterobacterales; Enterobacteriaceae. The record is from RNAcentral.